This 1372-nucleotide ribosomal RNA is filed under the name uncultured bacterium. RNAcentral describes it as "bacterial SSU rRNA". It matches the Rfam family "Bacterial small subunit ribosomal RNA", at positions 28 to 1381 of the family's 1533-position model. The record is from RNAcentral.
GAUGAACGCUGGCGGCGUGCCUAAUACAUGCAAGUCGAGCGAACGGACGAGAAGCUUGCUUCUCUGAUGUUAGCGGCGGACGGGUGAGUAACACGUGGAUAACCUACCUAUAAGACUGGGAUAACUUCGGGAAACCGGAGCUAAUACCGGAUAAUAUUUUGAACCGCAUGGUUCAAAAGUGAAAGACGGUCUUGCUGUCACUUAUAGAUGGAUCCGCGCUGCAUUAGCUAGUUGGUAAGGUAACGGCUUACCAAGGCAACGAUGCAUAGCCGACCUGAGAGGGUGAUCGGCCACACUGGAACUGAGACACGGUCCAGACUCCUACGGGAGGCAGCAGUAGGGAAUCUUCCGCGAUGGGCGAAAGCCUGACGGAGCAACGCCGCGUGAGUGAUGAAGGUCUUCGGAUCGUAAAACUCUGUUAUUAGGGAAGAACAUAUGUGUAAGUAACUGUGCACAUCUUGACGGUACCUAAUCAGAAAGCCACGGCUAACUACGUGCCAGCAGCCGCGGUAAUACGUAGGUGGCAAGCGUUAUCCGGAAUUAUUGGGCGUAAAGCGCGCGUAGGCGGUUUUUUAAGUCUGAUGUGAAAGCCCACGGCUCAACCGUGGAGGGUCAUUGGAAACUGGAAAACUUGAGUGCAGAAGAGGAAAGUGGAAUCCCAUGUGUAGCGGUGAAAUGCGCAGAGAUAUGGAGGAACACCAGUGGCGAAGGCGACUUUCUGGUCUGUAACUGACGCUGAUGUGCGAAAGCGUGGGGAUCAAACAGGAUUAGAUACCCUGGUAGUCCACGCCGUAAACGAUGAGUGCUAAGUGUUAGGGGGUUUCCGCCCCUUAGUGCUGCAGCUAACGCAUUAAGCACUCCGCCUGGGGAGUACGACCGCAAGGUUGAAACUCAAAGGAAUUGACGGGGACCCGCACAAGCGGUGGAGCAUGUGGUUUAAUUCGAAGCAACGCGAAGAACCUUACCAAAUCUUGACAUCCUUUGACAACUCUAGAGAUAGAGCCUUCCCCUUCGGGGGACAAAGUGACAGGUGGUGCAUGGUUGUCGUCAGCUCGUGUCGUGAGAUGUUGGGUUAAGUCCCGCAACGAGCGCAGCCCUUAAGCUUAGUUGCCAUCAUUAAGUUGGGCACUCUAAGUUGACUGCCGGUGACAAACCGGAGGAAGGUGGGGAUGACGUCAAAUCAUCAUGCCCCUUAUGAUUUGGGCUACACACGUGCUACAAUGGACAAUACAAAGGGCAGCGAAACCGCGAGGUCAAGCAAAUCCCAUAAAGUUGUUCUCAGUUCGGAUUGUAGUCUGCAACUCGACUACAUGAAGCUGGAAUCGCUAGUAAUCGUAGAUCAGCAUGCUACGGUGAAUACGUUCCCGGGUCU